ACUAACAUCAAUGGCGGAUAAAACCAGACGCGGAUUUAAUUUGAUCGAACGAUUCUCACAAACAAAAUAUCUCUAAUUCUCUAAUUGAUGAAACCUGAAAAGCACAAAUGGAUACUAAUGAAGAAUGGAGUGUUCCGAACAGUGACGACGAAAGGGACGAAGAGCUACUUGGUUUAACACAAAAUGGCUGCCACGAUGUGCCUGUGAAAAUCCUGAAAUACUACGAGGACAUUGAAAAGAAUAAAGUAUUAGAACUGAACGUGAAAGAGUUUAGAAAGCCUUUUAAGCAAGAUAUUGUUGAUGGUGAUAAAGAUAGUUGUCAGAAGGAACUUCAGGAGGAGAGAAAAGACGACGAAGAGAGUUCAACUUGUGCAGACGAAGAGAAGGAAACACAUCUAGAAAAAUCAAAUGAACCUUCAGAGUUUGAUUAUCUGGAAGAACCAGAUGAAUGUCAAGGACAGCUUACAAGAAGAACUCCCAAAACUGGAAGACUACCGAAGAAAAGAGUUGGGACCCUAAAGAAUGUUAUCUCCAACUUAAAACGUUACAAACAACUUGAUAGUUCUACUAGUGAAGACCCAAAGCUAACUACUGCAGAAAACAAAUCUGAUUUUGAAAGCAAAAAAGAUGUUAGUGAGCCAAAGGAUGAUCCAGAUGACUCCAAAAACACAUAAUGGAAUACAUGCAAUUUUGUAAAUAUUAAGAAAACCUUAUGUUUCAAACAAGAAGAAGAAUAGAUGUUUCUUGAGGCAAGUCUGCUAAGCAUUGGAAUCAGUCGCUAGCUGUUAAUUGAAAGUUUACUCAUUUUGUACAAGGCUUUGUUGACUACUACAGUGUAUAUACAAAUGGGUUUGUAGGCUGUGUUUGUAGUUCGCAGGUACUGGUUGUAGUAAAGUGGUUGAUACUGUAGCAGGCAGGAUGUUCAGUACAGAGAACUGUACAACGUUCAAACGUAAC
This 957-nucleotide unclassified non-coding RNA is filed under the name Actinia tenebrosa (Australian red waratah sea anemone). RNAcentral describes it as "uncharacterized LOC116301186, transcript variant X3". Lineage: Eukaryota; Metazoa; Cnidaria; Anthozoa; Actiniaria; Actiniidae. The record is from RNAcentral.